UACGAAGGGAGCUAGCGUUGUUCGGAAUCACUGGGCGUAAAGCGCAUGUAGGUGGCCAUUCAAGCCAAGGGUGAAAUCCCAGAGCUCAACUCUGGAACUGCCUUUGGAACUGUAUGGCUGGAGUCUUGGAGGGGAUAGCGGAAUUCCUAGUGUAGAGGUGAAAUUCGUAGAUAUUAGGAGGAACACCGGCGGCGAAGGCGGCUAUCUGGACAAGUACUGACACUGAGAUGCGAAAGCGUGGGGAGCAAACAGG
RNAcentral lists this ribosomal RNA (253 nucleotides) under uncultured bacterium. RNAcentral's name for it is "partial 16S ribosomal RNA". It matches the Rfam family "Bacterial small subunit ribosomal RNA", at positions 524 to 776 of the family's 1533-position model. The record is from RNAcentral.